GACGAACGCUGGCGGCGUGCUUAACACAUGCAAGUCGAACGAGUGGCGAACGGGUGAGUAAUACGUGGGUAACCUGCCCUCCUUUUUGGGAUAAGCCUUGGAAACGGGAUCUAAUACCGAAUAACGGGGGAUGGGCUCGCGGCCUAUCAGCUUGUUGGUGGGGUGAUGGCUACCAAGGCGUGACGGGUAGCCGGCCUGGGAGGGUGACCGGCCACAAGGGGACUGAGGUACGGAGCAGACGCGUACGGGGGGCAGCGGUGGGGGAUAUGGCGCAAUGAGCGGAAGCCUGAUGAAGCGGCGCCGCGUGGGGGAUGAAGGCCUUCGGGUUGUAAACUCCUUUCGACAGGGACGCGGUACCUGUAGAAGAAGCACCGGCUAACUACGUGCCAGCAGCCGCGGUAAUAC
Molecule: ribosomal RNA, 405 nt
Filed under: uncultured bacterium
Lineage: Bacteria
Description: partial 16S ribosomal RNA
Rfam family: Bacterial small subunit ribosomal RNA
Source: RNAcentral